This 468-nucleotide ribosomal RNA is filed under the name uncultured bacterium. Its description in RNAcentral is "partial 16S ribosomal RNA". It matches the Rfam family "Bacterial small subunit ribosomal RNA", at positions 28 to 507 of the family's 1533-position model. The record is from RNAcentral.
GACGAACGCUGGCGGCGUGCUUAACACAUGCAAGUCGAACGGAAAGGCCCUGCUUUUGUGGGGUGCUCGAGUGGCGAACGGGUGAGUAACACGUGAGUAACCUGCCCUUGACUUUGGGAUAACUUCAGGAAACUGGGGCUAAUACCGGAUAGGAGCUCCUGCUGCAUGGUGGGGGUUGGAAAGUUUCGGCGGUUGGGGAUGGACUCGCGGCUUAUCAGCUUGUUGGUGGGGUAGUGGCUUACCAAGGCUUUGACGGGUAGCCGGCCUGAGAGGGUGACCGGGCAGCAUGGGGCCAUAGUGCGGCCCGGGCGGCUGCGGGAGGCAGCAGUGGGGAGUAUUGCACCACGGGCGGCGGCCUGAUGCAGCAUCGCCGCGUGCGGGAUGACGGCCUGCGGGUUGUAAACCGCUUUCGCCUGGGACGAAGCGUGAGUGCCGGUGAUGGGUAAAGAAGCACCGCCUAACUACGUG